UGGGGAAUCUUGCACAAUGGAGGAAACUCUGAUGCAGCGAUGCCGCGUGAGUGAAGAAGGCCUUUGGGUUGUAAAGCUCUUUUGUAGGGGAAGAUAAUGACUGUACCCUAAGAAUAAGGUCCGGCUAACUUCGUGCCAGCAGCCGCGGUAAUACGAAGGGACCUAGCGUAGUUCGGAAUUACUGGGCGUAAAGCGCGCGUAGGCCGUUGAGUUAGUUAAUUGUGAAAUCCCAAAGCUUAACUUUGGAACUGCAAUUAAAACUGCUCGACUGGAGUUUGAUAGAGGAAAGCGGAACACAUAGUGUAGAGGUGAAAUUCGUAGAUAUUAUGUAGAACACCAGUUGCGAAGGCGGCUUUCUGGAUCAACACUGACGCUGAGGCGCGAAAGUAUGGGUAGCAAAGAGGAUUAGAUACCCUCGUAGUCCAUACCAUAAACGAUGAUUGCUAGAUGUUGGAAAUUUAUUUUCAGUAUCGCAGCUAACGCAUUAAGCAAUCCGCCUGGGGAGUACGACCGCAAGGUUA
This 521-nucleotide ribosomal RNA is filed under the name uncultured prokaryote. RNAcentral's name for it is "bacterial SSU rRNA". It matches the Rfam family "Bacterial small subunit ribosomal RNA", at positions 355 to 896 of the family's 1533-position model. The record is from RNAcentral.